GAGUUUGAUCCUGGCUCAGGAUGAACGCUAGCGGCAGGCUUAACACAUGCAAGUCGAGGGGUAACAGAGAGAAGCUUGCUUCUUUGCUGACGACCGGCGAACGGGUGCGUAACGCGUAUAGAAUCUGCCUUGUACAGGAGGAUAGCCUUUGGAAAUGAAGAUUAAUACUCCAUAAUAUUGGGAAGUGGCAUCACUAUCUAAUUAAACAUUUAUGGGUACAAGAUGACUAUGCGUCCUAUUAGCUAGAUGGUAAGGUAACGGCUUACCAUGGCAACGAUAGGUAGGGGGUCUGAGAGGAUUAUCCCCCACACUGGUACUGAGACACGGACCAGACUCCUACGGGAGGCAGCAGUGAGGAAUAUUGGUCAAUGGAGGCAACUCUGAACCAGCCAUGCCGCGUGCAGGAAGACUGCCCUAUGGGUUGUAAACUGCUUUUAUACAGGAAGAAACAGUCGUACGUGUACGGCCUUGAC
This 473-nucleotide ribosomal RNA is filed under the name uncultured Flavobacterium sp. RNAcentral's name for it is "bacterial SSU rRNA". It matches the Rfam family "Bacterial small subunit ribosomal RNA", at positions 9 to 473 of the family's 1533-position model. Lineage: Bacteria; Pseudomonadati; Bacteroidota; Flavobacteriia; Flavobacteriales; Flavobacteriaceae. The record is from RNAcentral.